RNAcentral lists this long non-coding RNA (902 nucleotides) under Homo sapiens (human). RNAcentral describes it as "long non-coding RNA NONHSAT129503.2". Lineage: Eukaryota; Metazoa; Chordata; Mammalia; Primates; Hominidae. The record is from RNAcentral.
GUGCCUGGGAGGCAGGCUUGGCAUCACCCUCUCUGGGUGGGGCUGGUUGCCGGCCUGACCGUGUCCACGCUCCCUGCAGUGAGUUCCAUAGAGUUGGCCUUGAUGGCAUCUGGCGACAGUUCCGCAUUCAACAGGAGCUCCGCCACGAUGCUGGUGUACUGUUGAGGGCGGCUGAAGGCCAGUUCCUGAUAGAUUUUCUGGAUACAGUUGUCGCCUAUCCGGGGAGCGGGAGGCAGCCCUCAGACUUUGGUGCUGGGAGACAUCCUUCAGUGUCCUCCUCCUGCCCAGACUGCCCCGACACCCAAGUCUCCCUGCUCUCAUCCCAAAUUCUCCGGAUCAGCCCAGCCCAGCCCCAGCCUCGCACCAAUCUCCCUGGCAGGAAGGUGACUGACUCCAAGCAUCAGCCUCUCCCUGCCCACCUGACCAGGCGCCACCCUCUGCACGGGCCAGGAAACAUCCUCCCCAGUGCCAUCAACCGCCCCACCUCGUGCCUUGCUUCUGAGAACAAUGGAGCCACCAGCCACCUGCAUCCCCACCUGCCUCCUGCCCCGGACUGUCCCCAUCAGGAAGGUUUGCCAGGACUGCAGGGACCCUGAGCGCCCUGAGGGAGGCUGCGGCCCCGGCGAACACCAGGCUCAGUACUCAGCCUGUGACCUGGGCCAGUGGGAGUACCCUUCUCAGGGCCUCAGUUUUCUGACCUAUGGGAAGGACAGUCCCCAGACCGCAAGAGAAAGCAUCGGCCAAGGUUGGUGCAGAGCGGGUUCUCACUACACAGAAGGGCUCAUUGCUCUGCAUCUUCUCUGCAGAGGUGCCCGUGCCCAUUUCUCCACCACCGCCCUGCUUCCCCAACCCACAGGGCAGACACGACCCCACGGAAUGGCCGUCCUCUGGGUCGGGUGCUC